AGCGCGCGCUCCCGUCCGGAAGUACGCUCAACCGCACCUCUGGGAGAAAGCUGUGCGCUAGUGUUUGUGCUUGUCCUGGUUAGACUUCGUGAGAAGAAUGAGGCACAAUGUAAACCACUUCCCCAAGUAACAAGACUGCAUGCAGCGCCAUGUGGGAUCUCAGUUCUCAGACCAGGGCUUAAACUUGGGCUGCAGUGGUGAAAGAGCUGAAUCUUAACCGUUGGACUGCCAAGGAAUUCCCUAGAUUCAAAAUCUUUCUUUUGAAAAUUGUUCCCGGAUGUCACCUCAGUGCCCCCAGAAACACUGGCAGGAAAUCAUCUCUUCACAGAAUCACCACUAUUGUCUCAAAAAGGCAAGUUUUAAUUCUGGUACUUUCUGAAUCUUACCAGAAGGCGUCACAAAUGGUAGGUUUUCCAUUUGCACACGUGUGGGAGUGACAAACACACCACAGCAGUGAUUGUGACAAGCCUUCCAAUUUCAGAAAUGAAAGAAAGAGGUAUACCUACUGUGUCACAGUGGGUUAAGGAUCUGAUGUCUCUGCUGCAUCAAGCUUCGAUCCUUGGCCCAGGAACUUCCAUAUCCUGUGGGCGUGGCUGAAAAAUAAAUAAAUAAAAGGAUUAAAAAAAAAAAAGAAAUGGGAAAGAGUGUGUAUUUAGAAUUGAUGAAGUAUGGAGAAUCUUUCCUAGAAGCCUCUCAUCAAAAUCUCCCCUUAACGGUGAGGUUGGUUGCCCUCCCACCACUGGAUCAAUUACUAGUAUGAGAAAGAAGAUUCUGACUUGUACCUUGGAUUCAUCACAGUGCAUGCACAGAACAUUUAUGUGGGGGUAAGUAAAAAGCAGGGUUUAAAAAGCAGUUUUUUUCUGGCCAUGCCCACAACAUGCAGAAGUUCCCGGGCAGGGAUCAAAAUGUGUCACAGCAGUGACAACGCUGGGUCCUUAACUGCUAGCCCACUAGGGAACUCCAAAAUCAGGAUUUCAUUAACCAGGAAGAGCAGGAAAUGACUGCUGACAGGUCCAAUCUCUUAUCACUUUAUCACUAUUUAUCUCUAUUGAUAUACCCAAGUCAUUUCCAAUUUUCAUUUCACAGACGAAGCUGCAGAGCCCAUUCUUGAGUGUACGUGCAGUUACAAGAACUUCUCUAGGAAACAUACUCUGAGGUGGAAUAUAGCCGAAGUAUAACUAAUCCCAUGUGUCCAUCCCCUCGCUUCACUUCAUCAUAGACUUGUUUCAUCUUCUUCUUCUCCCUUCUUAUGUUUGUUGCUGGAGUAUUUUAAAGCAAGUCUCAGACAUCAUUCCCUUCACCUCUAAACACUUCAGCAUGCUACUCAAAAAGAAAUAGCCAAGUAUUUUCUUACAUAACCACAAUGCCAUUAUCACAUCUAACAAAAUUCAGAGUAAUUCCUUCAUAUCAUUCAAUUACCAAGUCAUACUCAAAUUUCCUCUAUUAUAUAAAAAUAUUCUUUUUGUAAUUACUGUUUAGAAUCAGAUCAAACAAGAGCCCUUUCAUUUGGUUAUGUCUCUUGUGUUUCUUAUAAGUCUUUUAAGUCUUAUGUUUCCCUUAAUCUAGAACAGUCCCCUCCCCUUUUAUUCUUUCUUUCAUUGACUUGAUGAAAUUAGAGUCCAAUGUAAGAUCCUUCCUUUGAGAUCUGGUGUAUUGCUUCCUUGUGGACUGCAUCCUUUAUGCUCAGUAUUUCCUGUGGACUAGAGAUCAGUUUUAAAGCCUUGAUUAUAUUAUGGUUCAUACAUUUUUUUUUUUCCCUUGAGAAUCCAUCCUAGAUGGUACUGUGUACUUUCUCCAUCCCCUUCAGGAAGCAUGUAAUGUGUGUUAUCUCAUUUUUUGCGACACUAAGAUUGAUCCUUGUAGAUGCAAACUAUUACAUUUAGAAUGGAUAGGCAGUGAAGUCCUACUGUACAGCACAGGAAACUAUAUCCAGUCUCUUGGGGUAAUCCGUGGUGGAAGACAGUCUAAGAAAGAUUAUAUAUAUUUAUGUAUUUCAUUAUAUAUGUUUCAUACAUAUAUAUGUAUGACUGGCUCACUCUGCUAUACAGCAGAAAUCACAGCAUUAUAAAUCAAUUAUACUUUAGAAAAGAUAAAUAAAAAAUACUAGAUAACAAUAAAAAAAAUAAAGAUUGAUCCUAGAGUUCAGAUAAUGACAACGUGGUUUUUUUCUUUUUCUUUUUUUUUAUCUUUUUAGCAGCAUAUGGAUAUUCCCAG
Non-coding RNA from Sus scrofa (pig), 2214 nucleotides. Lineage: Eukaryota; Metazoa; Chordata; Mammalia; Artiodactyla; Suidae. The record is from RefSeq and is a predicted model, not a curated record.